Molecule: ribosomal RNA, 253 nt
Filed under: uncultured prokaryote
Description: partial 16S ribosomal RNA
Rfam family: Bacterial small subunit ribosomal RNA
Source: RNAcentral
UACGAAGGGGGCUAGCGUUGCUCGGAAUGACUGGGCGUAAAGGGCGCGUAGGCGGUUUGGACAGUCAGGCGUGAAAUUCCUGGGCUUAACCUGGGGGCUGCGCUUGAUACAUCCAGACUUGAGUGGGGAAGAGGGUCGUGGAAUUCCCAGUGUAGAGGUGAAAUUCGUAGAUAUUGGGAAGAACACCGGUGGCGAAGGCGGCGCUCUGGACCGAUACUGACGCUGAGGCGCGAAAGCGUGGGGAGCAAACAGG